AUGAAUAGAGGUGGAGAAAGUGUUGUCACACAAUUGUUCAGGCGAGGCGUCUCAGAGACACACAUUUGUUCCUGUCUGUGCCUCAAGGUGCGAUUAUGUGGACUGUGGGGAUCUGAAAGACAUUUCUUCAAAAGCGCUGUGACACUGCUUCUGCUUUGGGUCAGUGCAUCAAGCCACUCGGGCCGCCCAAAGCGCCAGACUCCGCCGCACAGGAAAAUAUAGAUGAGCGAGUGGUGGCGACAGAAAAGUAACGAGCAAGAGAGAAAGAGAGAGCGAAGGAGAGAUCAGUCCUAAUUAAAACAGACUUGUCUAAAAAACCUAAGCUUUCAGAGGUGUUAUUGUGGUUAAUGAGCAAGAUGAGAGCUGCCCAUAUCUAAUGACCAAUGACGCCCCUUUACGCACAAUACAGGUAAACAUUGACGUUUGCCUUCCUCUCUCACAUUUCAUCACUCACUAGAAACAUCACUACUGUAAGUCACACACACAAAAUCCUUCGCUUGCGUUCUCACAAACACUACUGCAGUAAUGAUGAUAAAUGGUAGAGAAUAUUUACCUGACACACACAAACUCAUGCAGGGGUCACCAAACUCGGUCCUGGAGGGCUGGUGUCCUGCAAAGUUUAGCUAAACUCUGCAGAACGUCAACCCUCAGGGAAAGAGUCUGGUGAGCCCUGAACUAAACCCAUUUAAAACUCAGCAAGUUUAGAGAGAUGACUAGGUUUUUUGUUUGUUUGUUUGUUUGUUUUUAUUUGAAGAAAAUGUGAGUGGUGUCUACUUGUGCAAAACUCACUUCCGUGAUUGUCAUGCAGGUGUUUGUUAUUUGUAUGUAAUUUGAUUUAAGUAGUAAUUUUUAAGUAAUUGGGUUUUGAAGUAAUUCCCAGGUCUGGAAAUGUAUGGAAAAAAAGAAAGCAGGGUAUGGAAAAAUAUUAGCAUUUCCAGAUUUUGCCCCAUUUAAUUUUUUGAGUAUGUAAUGUAUUGAGUUUCUUCUCACGAUAUUCUUAGCACCGUAUUACAUAGUCUCAAGGACCUUGUGCAAAAAAUAUGCAGAUGUUUAUGUGAGUACUAGAAACAAUUAAACUUAGCAUAUAAAGGACAAUGCACACUGAGCCACCUGUUGUGCCAUUAGCCUAUUUCACGUUUUCUUGGCCUUCACAGAGUAUACGUUAAAGCAGACCUAAAUCUUUGAAAUAUGAUAUACUGCUCUAACAAAUGCCAAAUUCUGAACACUUUUUUUUUAAGUACCAAUAGAAAUAUAUUAUAUAAAACUAGAAAUUAUAAUGCAUAAACACGCAACGCUUGUGACUAGUUUCUCAAGGACACAACAUUUUUCUUGCCCGCAUGCAAAAGUCUGUUUUUUAUUUAUUUAUUUAUUUAUUUAUUUAUUUAUUUAUUUAUUUAUUUACAGGGGUGCUCUGUAUGUUGUCACUUUGAGAAAAUCCACGCAAAAAAGAUAUUACCAAUGACUUCACCAUGUACCAAAUAUUAAGCUGAAAAUAAAACUGUAUGAACCAUUAAUGUUAAAUAUGGUCUAAAUAGAGGUUUGGAAAUUUUAGUCUAGAAAAGUAUAUAAAUCUGAAAUGUGCAUGAACCCUGUUUUAUACAGGCUCAAGAUAAAAGAACCCACCUACAAAGUUAAUCUGAUUUGAGUUGAGGGUUGGUUGUUACUUUACUGUACAGAAAUAGAGACUAUAAAAUUCCAUUUUAUAGGAAUAGUUCACCCACAAAUUAAAAUUUGCUGAAACUUUACUCACCCUUAGGGCAUUGGAGUAGUUACAUUUGUUUCUUUAUUGGAACAGAUUUGGAGAAAUGUAGCAUUACAUCUCUUGCUCACUAAUGGAUCCUCUAGUGAAUGGGUGCCAUCAAAGUCAUUUAUCAAUAAUAUUGCUUUCUCUAGUGAAAAAGUAAUUUAAUCUGAAUCAGGAGAGAGAUAUAGUAUGCACAGAUCAAGCACUGUUUACAAGAAGAAGAAGAAAGAGGACAACAGGGGAUGGACUAGAUUGAGUGUUUAUGGAUUGUGGACUUCAAUUCUGGCUAUAAUGAUGGUUUAAAGUUAAAACACCUGAAUAAUGGAUUUGUUUAUUUGUUUCUAAACAUGCAGCUUUUCACUUCACACUGUUAAGUUAUGAACUGGAGUGGUGGUGAUUACUUGUGAUUUAUUGUGGUGUUUUUAUCAGCUGUUUACACUCUCAUUCUGACGGCUCCCAUUCAUUGCAGAGGAUUUUCAUUUUUGGGUGAAUUAUUAAUUUAAAUAACGAAAUAAGUAAAAAAGAAAUGUAAAGCAACAUUAUACUAUGGCUUUAGUCAUACGACUGAAUCAAUAUGUAUGUCAUAUUGGAACAAAUAGUAUAAUAAACUAAUGUAUACUUAUUAAAUCAACUAAAUAUCCAAUUCAGUAUUCACACGUUGUCGUAUUUGAAAUAGGUUUCGUGUGUGUUUGUGUGUGUGUGUGUGUGUGUGUUUUGAAAACAAAUGCAAGAGGGAUAAUGCAAAUUGUUGUAGUGUGAAAAAAUAAAUAAAUAAAAACAAAAACAUUGAAAAGGAAAAUUAUUUAAGCUAAAAAAUUUGAAACAUUCAAGGGGAUGAACAAUUUUAACUCAAUUUAAAUUCCCAUCAAAAACAUAAAUACCCAAAGAGGACAGAGAAAUUUAAGCAAAGUUAGUAAUGGUUUAUAAAAAAAAUAAAAUAAAAGAGAGCUCAGUCCAGGGGGUAGUGAAGGCAAAGAGGGAACAAAUCCAAGCAUUCGAGAAGUCCAGCACAGUCACCACUGACCUUGGAUUUCAUCCAGAACUGUAGUUGUAAAGGCAUAAAAAAUGCUCAGUACUUAACCAAGUGCCUUGUCAAAGGCCCAUUUGUGUAUUUGGGAGUCUGACAUGACCAGAGAUCAUGGGAACAGGAUAUGGCAGUUAUUGCAUAUGGUUGUGGUCCUGAUCUCCAUGCUCAUGCAAUCAUGUAGGGUAUCAUGUAGGGGUGCCAAAGAACACACUAGUAAACUCUCUGAUUGACUUGUCACCCUGGUUGGCUUUGCUUUCAUAUAGCUCUUAUAGCCCCUUUCACACUGCACGUCCAACCCGGCAUAUUGCCAGAACAUUGCCGCGUUCGACCCGGGACGAGCGCUGUGUGAACAAAAGCCAGAUCUAAUGCCGGGUCGAAGUGAUGAUGCGCGUUAUCGCACAACUCUUUUACCGGCUGAUUUGAAGGAAGAUCUUCGUUCGCGACGAAAAUAAAUGUGCAAACUGUAAUGAAGCAGAGAUCAGUUGGUUCCUCACUUUCCGCACUGAUGCCGAGAUCGUU
Long non-coding RNA from Carassius auratus (goldfish), 3290 nucleotides. Lineage: Eukaryota; Metazoa; Chordata; Actinopteri; Cypriniformes; Cyprinidae. The record is from Ensembl.